GGAGAGUUGCCCGAGCGGCUGAAGGGGCUCCCCUGCUAAGGGAGUAUAGGGUUUAUAGCUCUAUCGAGGGUUCGAAUCCCUCACUCUCCGCCA
This 93-nucleotide transfer RNA is filed under the name Lysobacterales bacterium. RNAcentral's name for it is "tRNA-Ser". It matches the Rfam family "tRNA". Rfam says of the family: Transfer RNA (tRNA) molecules are approximately 80 nucleotides in length. Their secondary structure includes four short double-helical elements and three loops (D, anti-codon, and T loops). The record is from RNAcentral. RNAcentral also lists the same sequence under 1 other name. Lineage: Bacteria; Pseudomonadati; Pseudomonadota; Gammaproteobacteria; Lysobacterales.